Non-coding RNA from Tinamus guttatus (white-throated tinamou), 99 nucleotides. NCBI's taxonomy places the organism in Eukaryota, Metazoa, Chordata, Aves, Tinamiformes, Tinamidae. The record is from RefSeq and is a predicted model, not a curated record.
UGUAGCUUUUCCAACAGUCUACGUCUCCUCCUAGCUGGUUAUGACGACUUCAACUGCAAUGUCUGGGAUACACUGAAAGCCGAUAGAGCAGGUGUCCUU